Molecule: unclassified non-coding RNA, 357 nt
Filed under: soil metagenome
Description: partial contains 5.8S ribosomal RNA, internal transcribed spacer 2, and large subunit ribosomal RNA
Rfam family: 5.8S ribosomal RNA (bases 1-120)
Source: RNAcentral
GAUGAAUAACGUAGCGAAAUGCGAUAAGUAAUGUGAAUUGCAGAAUUCAGUGAAUCAUCGAAUCUUUGAACGCACAUUGCGCCCGUCAGUAUUCUGGCGGGCAUGCCUGUUCGAGCGUCAUUACGCCCCUCAAGUCCCCUGUGGACUUGGUGUUGGGGAUCGGCGAGGCUGGUUUUCCAGCACAGCCGUCCCUUAAAUUAAUUGGCGGUCUCGCCGUGGCCCUCCUCUGCGCAGUAGUAAAACACUCGCAACAGGAGCCCGGCGCGGUCCACUGCCGUAAAACCCCCCAACUUUUUAUAGUUGACCUCGAAUCAGGUAGGACUACCCGCUGAACUUAAGCAUAUCAAAAGCGGAGGA